Non-coding RNA from Ciona savignyi (Pacific transparent sea squirt), 165 nucleotides. Lineage: Eukaryota; Metazoa; Chordata; Ascidiacea; Phlebobranchia; Cionidae. The record is from Rfam.
GUAACCGUGAGGUUAGGUCUGGAGGAAGCCGGACGCAAACCUGCGAGCUGAUGAACAAAAACAUCAUAUGAGGCGUAGGCUGAAGGCGAGUUGGCACAAGACAACGAAGCCAGGUGAUCUAACGGCCACCGUAAAUGAUACAGUUGUGCAGCGAAAGUUCAUGCU